RNAcentral lists this ribosomal RNA (253 nucleotides) under uncultured bacterium. RNAcentral's name for it is "partial 16S ribosomal RNA". It matches the Rfam family "Bacterial small subunit ribosomal RNA", at positions 524 to 776 of the family's 1533-position model. The record is from RNAcentral.
GACGGAGGAGGGAAGCGUUAUCCGGAAUUAUUGGGCGUAAAGGGUACGUAGGCGGCUGGUCAAGUCUGGGGUCAAAGGCCACAGCUCAACUGUGGAAAGGCCCUGGAAACUGACCGGCUAGAGUGAGGUAGGGGUUGCGGGAAUUCCCGGUGUAGCGGUGAAAUGCGUAGAGAUCGGGAAGAACACCUGAGGCGGAAGCGCGCAACUGGGCCUCAACUGACGCUGAGGUACUAAAGCUAGGGGAGCGAAUGGG